GUGCCAGCAGCCGCGGUAAUACGAACGGUCCAAACGUUAUUCGGAAUCACUGGGCUUAAAGCGUCCGUAGGCGGCUCGGAAAGUAGGGUGUGAAAUCCCACGGCUCAACCGUGGAAUUGCGCUCUAAACUAUCGAGCUAGAGGGAGAUAGAGGUGAGCGGAACUGAUGGUGGAGCGGUGAAAUGCGUUGAUAUCAUCAGGAACACCGGAGGCGAAGGCGGCUCACUGGGUCUUUUCUGACGCUGAGGGACGAAAGCUAGGGGAGCGAACGGGAUUAGAAACCCCCGUAGUCC
This 292-nucleotide ribosomal RNA is filed under the name uncultured bacterium. RNAcentral describes it as "partial 16S ribosomal RNA". It matches the Rfam family "Bacterial small subunit ribosomal RNA", at positions 505 to 796 of the family's 1533-position model. The record is from RNAcentral.